Molecule: long non-coding RNA, 1400 nt
Filed under: Felis catus (domestic cat)
Lineage: Eukaryota; Metazoa; Chordata; Mammalia; Carnivora; Felidae
Description: lncRNA (ENSFCAG00000041894.2)
Source: RNAcentral
GCGGGUGCGCCUUCCGUCCUGCCACGGCUGAGUCGGUACCGACACCCCUUCCAGGCUGUGUGGGGCCCAGGGCCCCCACACCCCUGGCAGCUGGUUUGUGUCUCCAGCCCGAGUUACAAGGUAACUGCAUUCAAACAUGGAUCUGAACAGGCAGCGGGGACAGAGCAGCGGUGAAGACAGAGGAAGAGCCCAAGUUCGGUUCUGAGUCAGCGCGAACCUCCCCGAGAGGCAGCGAGAGUCCAGGGGAGGCAGAUGCCCAGGUCUGUGCCUCAGACAGACCCUCCGGAAAGUGGGCGCAACUCCUAAGCACUGGGUCAGGUGAUGUCACCCAGCCAUUGUCUCUGAUGUGUGAGGAGAUGAAAAACUUAGGCGGUUUUACAGGCUGUCUGAGGAAUUUUCGACCUAUUUUCUGUUGAAGGGUAUUCGCUGAAGUAUAUCAGUGCUGGAGACACUUGGACGCAUCCUGAAUUGAUCCUGAAGAAACGGCAACUUGGACAGACAGCAUGACAAUUUCUGGGAUUUAUUCUGAAAUAAGACGCUAUGAAUCUUGACCAAAAUAAUCUUAAUACUUAAGAUGUUUCCUAUGGACUCACGUAUCUGUUGCUUCACGAAAAAAAAAAUCCAGAUUAAAAUGACUGAAAUGAGCUUUUUCAUCCCUGUGGGAGGAUUGGGAGUCCUCGCUGCACGGGUGGGCAGUGUGACCGCGGAGCAGACGUCACCGGGUCAUUUGGGGAAGGGGGACCCGCCGUGCACCUGCUCAUCGCCGCGACAGGCCAGCGUGGACUGCACAUCUACCCUUUCCUCACAACCAAGUAUUUCGUGAGAAGAAAGUUGGCUGAAGGCACGGCUGCAGGAGACAGCUCUUUCUGCCUUCCGGCCGUCCAGUGGAAAUGCCUUUUCUCUGAGACAGCCACCUGCUGAGAAUGUCUGACUUCAUCCACCACUCGGUUGUCCUCGUCUCUAACCCCCCUUGAUGUUUAACUGGAGAAGAAAUUCCCUUAAAGGACCAACAUAUUUCUGGAGGAUUACACUUGUAACCUGGAGUCCUUCAAGGACCGUAUGUCACCAAAACCAAAACAAAAGUCUUCUCCUGUGAAAACUGUGACCUCAGGAAGGAGAGGGAAGCUUAGAUCACAAAACAUUUAAAAUUAAAUUAAAAUUAAAAUUAGAUUAAUCCACCUAAUGAGAGGAUUAGUCCAUCCUCUUAUGGGUAUUGGUUACUUAGUCAUACAACGUCGUGCUGCCUCGUGCUGGCUCAACAGCACCCCGGUAAAAUCACACAAGUUCAUGCCAAGCAGCAACGAUGGCAAAGAAGUUACCGAUAGACACUGGGCUUUUGGCCCACAGUUCUGUCCGGGUGUUGGCUGUGCCGUGCUGUGUCUGGGUGGAGGGGAGGGGGC